CAGAGGGGGAUAACGUUUGGAAACGAACGCUAAUACCGCAUGAUAUUAUUGGGCAGCAUUGCCUGAUAAUCAAAGGAGCAAUCCGCUGAAAGAUGGGCUCGCGUCCGAUUAGGUAGUUGGCGGGGUAACGGCCCACCAAGCCGACGAUCGGUAGCCGGACUGAGAGGUUGAACGGCCACAUUGGGACUGAGACACGGCCCAGACUCCUACGGGAGGCAGCAGUGAGGGAUAUUGGUCAAUGGGGGAAACCCUGAACCAGCAACGCCGCGUGAGGGAAGACGGUUUUCGGAUUGUAAACCUCUGUCCUCUGUGAAGAUGAUGACGGUAGCAGAGGAGGAAGCUCCGGCUAACUACGUGCCAGCAGCCGCGGUAAUACGUAGGGAGCAAGCGUUGUCCGGAUUUACUGGGUGUAAAGGGUGCGUAGGCGGCUUUGCAAGUCAGAAGUGGAAUCUAUGGGCUUAACCCAUAAACUGCUUUUGAAACUGCAGGGCUUGAGUGAAGUAGAGGUAGGCGGAAUUCCCGGUGCAGCGGUGAAAUGCGUAGAGAUCGGGAGGAACACCAGUGGCGAAGGCGGCCUACUGGGCUUUAACUGACGCUGAGGCACGAAAGCGUGGGUAGCAAACAGGAUUAGAUACCCUGGUAGUCCACGCUGUAAACGAUGAUUACUAGGUGUGGGUGGACUGACCCCAUCCGUGCCGGAGU
RNAcentral lists this ribosomal RNA (702 nucleotides) under uncultured bacterium. RNAcentral's name for it is "bacterial SSU rRNA". It matches the Rfam family "Bacterial small subunit ribosomal RNA", at positions 134 to 852 of the family's 1533-position model. The record is from RNAcentral.